RNAcentral lists this ribosomal RNA (484 nucleotides) under uncultured bacterium. Its description in RNAcentral is "partial 16S ribosomal RNA". It matches the Rfam family "Bacterial small subunit ribosomal RNA", at positions 30 to 507 of the family's 1533-position model. The record is from RNAcentral.
AUUGAACGCUGGCGGCAGGCCUAACACAUGCAAGUCGACCGGAUGAAGGGAGCUUGCUCCUGGAUUCAGCGGCGGACGGGUGAGUAAUGCCUAGGAAUCUGCCUGGUAGUGGGGGAUAACGUCCGGAAACGGGCGCUAAUACCGCAUACGUCCUGAGGGAGAAAGUGGGGGAUCUUCGGACCUCACGCUAUCAGAUGAGCCUAGGUCGGAUUAGCUAGUUGGUGGGGUAAAGGCCUACCAAGGCGACGAUCCGUAACUGGUCUGAGAGGAUGAUCAGUCACACUGGAACUGAGACACGGUCCAGACUCCUACGGGAGGCAGCAGUGGGGAAUAUUGGACAAUGGGCGAAAGCCUGAUCCAGCCAUGCCGCGUGUGUGAAGAAGGUCUUCGGAUUGUAAAGCACUUUAAGUUGGGAGGAAGGGCAGUAAGUUAAUACCUUGCUGUUUUGACGUUACCAACAGAAUAAGCACCGGCUAACUUCGUG